GACAACUAUCUGCCACACCAAUCCAGUGUCAGAAUGAAUCGGAAAAUAGUGAGCCGCAGAAGCAGGGAUGGAUCAGUAGAUUGCUCAAGGGACAAUCAAUGGAUCCAUCGAGUUGGCAGAAACAGUCACAUUCGUCGUUGCUCUCGAAUUCAGAGCUCAUGUACGAGUUCAUGAGUAAGUUUUUUAAAAAAUUGAGAAUUUAAAUUAUAGAAAAUGAACCGUAAUGAGCGAAAAUAAUUGUUUAAAAAAUUAUAAUGAUUUUCGGGAAAUCAAAAACGAUUUACCCGAUUAAACUUUUUUGCAAAAUUUAAAAAAUCGUGUAUUAUAUCUGGAAAAAGUGUGAAUUUUUCAAAAAUGACAUAUUUGGUCAUUACGAUUCAUUUUCUGUCAUUAAAUUUUUGAAAAAUGCUCUAAAUACUAAUUUUACUUAUAACAAUUUUAUUAUUAUUUUACAGUGUUUUUUAUUCUUCUUCUACGACUUCAAAGGCGCGCGCAUUUAUACGAAAUGGUCUCACCACGCGCCACCCAUUGAUUUUAAAAAAUGUCUUAAUGCGCCUUUGAAGUCAUAGAUGAAAAAUAAAAAAUAGACUGUAUAAAAUACUUAUUUGUGUCAUAUAUUUAACUUUUUAAAACAAUAUUUUUCAGCUCACAACUACCGCCCAGGAGAGCAGGAUGCAUAUUUAGAUGCUUUUGGAAAGUAUAAAAACGAAAUGAAUCAAAAGAAUCCAUCAAUUGAACUUGUUGGAUCAUGGACAUGUGCUUAUGGAAGAACUCGUGAUCAGGCAAUUCAUCUGUGGAGACAUAACAAAGGUUAUGAAGAUGUUGAUUCAUCGAUUUCUCUUCAUGGAAAAGAUUCUGGAAUCCGUGCAGCUGAUAAUGACGUUGCUAAACUGUGUGGUCGCCGCAAGAAUCUCAUAGUAAAAUCAUUCAGCUAUUGGAGAGAACCAGAACAACGACCACCAAAUCAUGUUUAUGAUCUUCGUUCAUAUGUUCUUCAACCUGGAACUAUGAUUGAUUGGGCAUCUGCAUGGGCAAAAGGAAUUCAAUACAGACGUGAGGCGAAUCAAGAUGUUGGAGGAUUCUUUGCUCAAGUUGGACAACUCUAUGUUGUCUAUCACAUUUGGGCUUAUCCAUCAAUGUCAGGCCGUAACGAUACGAGACAUGCUACUUGGGCAAAGCCAGGAUGGGAUGCAACUGUUGCGAAUACUGGUUAGUCUGAAAUUUGUCUUCUCGAAUAAUACAAAUGAAAAACAAAAAAUUGAGAAAAAUUAAACAAACUUUUUUGUCAAAUUUUAGAAAAAACCCGAAAUUUCUGACUUUCCCGCGGGAAACCGGAUUUUUGAUUAUUUUUUACACACUAAAAUCUAGAAAAUUUCGAUUUUUUCUUGUUUUUCCUAAUUUUCAAACAAAAUGCCAUAGGAUUUUGAAAUUUUCGCAACAAAAAACCGAAAAAAUAACCUAAAAAUCAGAUUUUCUGUUAUUUUUAACGGAAACAAAUAUUUAUUUUUUCAGUGCCUCUCAUCAAGAAGAUGCAAUCGAAAAUUUUGACUCCAACCAAAUAUUCUCAACUGGAAUAAACAUUUCUCAUGUUUGUCAUAAUUCACAAAUUGAGAAAUUGAAUAGGUUAAUAUAGAAGAAAUGCUU
RNAcentral lists this small RNA (1644 nucleotides) under Caenorhabditis elegans. RNAcentral's name for it is "Unclassified non-coding RNA K02D10.9". Lineage: Eukaryota; Metazoa; Nematoda; Chromadorea; Rhabditida; Rhabditidae. The record is from RNAcentral.